GGCACCCCUCCCUCCCCUCCCCUAACAGCCGCUUCGCGUGUGCGGAGAAUGAGGAGGACAUUCACUCCCUACGCCCUCGGGAAUCCCUGGGUGGAGGACAGCGUGUGCUGUUGCCGUGAUCACCACGCUGGACCUUAGACCCAGAAAUCACCCAUCGUGGGACCAGGAGUUUGCACUGUUUGACCAGCAUCUUCCCCAGCAGCUGCCCCCACUCUGUGCCUCCCUGUUCUGCUCUGUGGGAUUCCGCGAGCGCCCGUCUGUCUGCGAGUGCCAGGCUGGCCCCUCCACGGGGUCUUGGUCUUCCCGUGUGAAGGGUGGGGGGAGGGCGCGGGGCACGUCUCCCCUCCAGUAGGGGGCAGGCUUCUGUUCAGAAUGAAUGGUCCUGUCGUGGGGCAAAUUCACCUGUCACACUGGAUGUUGAAAAUCCCUCCAGGACAUGGCGGUGCCACCCUCCUGAGUCUUCAGCCGACCCGUGCUUCUGCCAUUUUUUGUUUCACGUCUUCCACAUCGGCAAGAUGCUCGCCUUUGAGGACCUUCUUCAUCUGGGGAAACAAAAGUCGCUCAGGGCCGCCGGUAAGCGUGGCUCAGCUCAGACUUCAGGCCGCCCGUGCGCGGUCAGGGGCUCUCAGCCCCAGCAGGCUGCAUGGCGCGUUUGCGCCCAGAACUCCCCGGACUGCCCCGCCCUCCCGGCCGCAGAAUCUCUCCUUCACCCUGCAGGGGGUUGGAGAUCCCCCAAGUCCUCUCUACAGCUGUCUAAGCCGAAGUGUGGCUGCCCGGGGAGCCCCAGAGUGGCCUGCUCUCCGACGAAAAGUCCGGGAAAGGGGGCGCUCACCCACGGAGUCCCAUUCGUUUUUCGUCUGCUCCCUCCAGGUCGCCGCCCGCCUUUUUUAGGUCACCCUCUGCGGCCUGCUGACUUAAAAGUAGUCACUGGCUGAAGUUUUAUGUUUUUAUCGCUGGAGGGCUGACGCCCUCAGGGCUGUCUGUCUACAACCGGAAGUGGGCGAUCCAUCUGUUUCUGUUUUCCAACAUUUGGUUGCUGUUGACUUUCGCGCUUUGAUCCUCAGCUUCUGAACCCGUGCUAUUUUUAGCCCUCCGCUGCUAUGUUAAUGAGGUUUCGUGGGCAGCUGCUGGAAGUGCAUUUCUUCAAGCUGCCACUUUAAUCCAGUCUGCAGUGCUCUCUCUCUUCUGUAUGAUUUCCAAAAAGUUUCUGGGUUAAAGCAAGUGCACACUUUCAAGGCGGUGACAGUGCGACCGCAAGAGUGCGGGUCUGCGAGUGACUUGCCCUCCACCAGGAAGAGGGGCUGUUUGCAGAGGAGCCGGCCGGCUUCCCUGGCUCUGUGCAAGCAGGAAGGCCCACGGUCAUAUCCAGGAUGCGGCCAGGACCAGGGGCCCCUGGGCAGAACUCGGGUGGGAAGGCUUUAUCCAGUCCAAGACCCAAAGCAGGUUCCCUCACUUCAUAGAUUGACCUGAGACCCUUCGUCCUUUUGGAACAUCUAGCUCCUCACU
This is a long non-coding RNA of Artibeus jamaicensis (Jamaican fruit-eating bat), 1506 nucleotides long. RefSeq lists it as uncharacterized. NCBI's taxonomy places the organism in Eukaryota, Metazoa, Chordata, Mammalia, Chiroptera, Phyllostomidae. The record is from RefSeq and is a predicted model, not a curated record. The transcript is spliced from 3 exons.